UACGUAGGAGGCGAGCGUUGUCCGGAAUUACUGGGCGUAAAGCGCGCGUAGGCGGUCUGUCGCGUCGGCGGUGAAAGCCCUCGGCUCACCUGGGGGAGGUCCGCCGAAGCGGACAGACUGGAGGGCGGUAGGGGCUGGCGGAACGCCCGGAGUAGCGGUGAAAUGCGUUGAGAUCGGGCAGAACACCAGUGGCGAAGGCGGCCGGCUGGGCCGACCCUGACGCUGAGGCGCGAAAGCCAGGGGAGCGAACGGA
Molecule: ribosomal RNA, 253 nt
Filed under: uncultured bacterium
Lineage: Bacteria
Description: partial 16S ribosomal RNA
Rfam family: Bacterial small subunit ribosomal RNA
Source: RNAcentral